RNAcentral lists this ribosomal RNA (464 nucleotides) under uncultured bacterium. RNAcentral's name for it is "partial 16S ribosomal RNA". It matches the Rfam family "Bacterial small subunit ribosomal RNA", at positions 29 to 507 of the family's 1533-position model. The record is from RNAcentral.
ACGAACGCUGGCGGCGUGCUUAACACAUGCAAGUCGAACGGAAAGGCCCUGCUUGCAGGGUACUCGAGUGGCGAACGGGUGAGUAACACGUGGGUGAUCUGCCCUGCACUUCGGGAUAAGCCUGGGAAACUGGGUCUAAUACCGGAUAGGAGCCAUUUUUAGUGUGAUGGUUGGAAAGUUUUUUCGGUGUAGGAUGAGCUCGCGGCCUAUCAGCUUGUUGGUGGGGUAAUGGCCUACCAAGGCGGCGACGGGUAGCCGGCCUGAGAGGGUGGACGGCCACAAUGGGGACGAGGUAAGGCCCAGAAUCCUAAGGGAGGGAAGAGGGGGGAAUAUUGCACAAUGGGGGCAAGCCUGGUGCAGCGACGCCGGGGGGGGGAUGACGGCCUUCGGGUUGUAAACUCCUUUCGCUAGGGACGAAGCUUUUUGUGACGGUACCUAGAUAAGAAGCACCGGCUAACUACGUG